UGUAUGUCUUGAUCCUAGUGUAGGAUUUUUGCGUACAGCGGUACGACUCGUUCAUGUAGACAAAAUAGCAAAACCAAUGUGAAGAGUAAAGAAAGAGUAAUUACAAUGAAUUAAGGUUAAAAGUUUAUUGAAUGGUUAAUUAAUCAUUACUCGUGGAUAGAGAGAAAAGUUCCAUUUUCAAAUUCGUUCAUACAUUUUAUUUGUAAAAAAGGCGAAUUUCAGAAAUUGGAUUUAGGAUUGGAGCCCUCGCAAGUGGCUCUGUCUUGCCUAAAAAACAUUUGUAUCAAACGAAAUCAAUAUGCUUUGUAGUUUUUGCAAUCUAGCUUUUCCUAUAGAAAAUAGCAAUUGCUUGUUAAACGGUUUGUACCGGGUUCCUUAUCUUCAUUUGCAUAAUAACUUACAAUUAGCGAGUGAAAAUUGAAUAAAUAAAAGCGAGGAAUAUGUUCAUCGAGGGAUAUCACUAUUGGAACAAACAGGUUUUGCGAAAGGAAAUAUCAAUAUUGUACUCCUCUAUUUUUUUACUAAACGCCAAGUACUGCUACAUUCAAACAACAUUUUCCAUUUCAUAAUCCUUUUCAACAGUCAUUGCGAUUGCAAUUCUGAUAUUAUUAUCGAGACAAGGAAAUGAGCAUGAUAUUUUGUACCAAAUUAAUUUGUUAUGAAACCCUUCCGCCAAUUUCUAUUGAGAAUCCAUAUAUAUUUUUUAUUUGGCUAUUAUUUCAAAUUUAUGGCUCG
Molecule: long non-coding RNA, 735 nt
Filed under: Schizosaccharomyces pombe (fission yeast)
Lineage: Eukaryota; Fungi; Ascomycota; Schizosaccharomycetes; Schizosaccharomycetales; Schizosaccharomycetaceae
Source: RNAcentral